AUGAACGCUGGCGGCGUGCCUAAUACAUGCAAGUCGAGCGAACGGACGAGAAGCUUGCUUCUCUGAUGUUAGCGGCGGACGGGUGAGUAACACGUGGAUAACCUACCUAUAAGACUGGGAUAACUUCGGGAAACCGUAGCUAAUACCGGAUAAUAUUUUGAACCGCAUGGUUCAAAAGUGAAAGACGGUCUUGCUGUCACUUAUAGAUGGAUCCGCGCUGCAUUAGCUAGUUGGUAAGGUAACGGCUUACCAAGGCAACGAUGCAUAGCCGACCUGAGAGGGUGAUCGGCCACACUGGAACUGAGACACGGUCCAGACUCCUACGGGAGGCAGCAGUAGGGAAUCUUCCGCAAUGGGCGAAAGCCUGACGGAGCAACGCCGCGUGAGUGAUGAAGGUCUUCGGAUCGUAAAACUCUGUUAUUAUGGAAGAACAUAUGUGUAAGUAACUGUGCACAUCUUGACGGUACCUAAUCAGAAAGCCACGGCUAACUACGUG
RNAcentral lists this ribosomal RNA (496 nucleotides) under uncultured bacterium. RNAcentral's name for it is "partial 16S ribosomal RNA". It matches the Rfam family "Bacterial small subunit ribosomal RNA", at positions 29 to 507 of the family's 1533-position model. The record is from RNAcentral.